AGCAGCCGCGGUAAUUCCAGCUCCAAUAGCGUAUAUUAAAGUUGUUGCAGUUAAAAAGCUCGUAGUUGAACUUCGGGAUUUGCCCAUUGGUCAGGCUUAACUGUCUGCACUGGUGUGACGAGUUCCUACCUUCUGAGGAAUCUCCAUGUCAUUCAGUUGGUGUGGGGAGAAAUCAGGACUGUUACUUUGAAAAAAUUAGAGUGUUUAAAGCAGGCAUCCGUCUGAAUACAUUAGCAUGGAAUAAUAAAAUAGGACGGUUUGGUUCUAUUUUGUUGGUUUCUAGGAUCACCGUAAUGAUUAAUAGGGAUAGUUGGGGGCAUUAGUAUUCAAUUGUCAGAGGUGAAAUUCUUGGAUUUAUUGAAGACUAACUACUGCGAAAGCAUUUGCCAAGGAUGUUUUCAUUAAUCAAGAACGAAAGUUAGGGGAUCGAAGACGAUCAGAUACCGUCGUAGUCUUAACCAUAAACUAUGCCGACUAGGGAUCGGGCGAAGUUAAUUUUUAAUGACUCGUUCGGCAC
This 517-nucleotide ribosomal RNA is filed under the name uncultured Diversispora. RNAcentral describes it as "SSU rRNA". It matches the Rfam family "Eukaryotic small subunit ribosomal RNA", at positions 569 to 1086 of the family's 1831-position model. Lineage: Eukaryota; Fungi; Glomeromycota; Glomeromycetes; Diversisporales; Diversisporaceae. The record is from RNAcentral.